Molecule: non-coding RNA, 105 nt
Organism: Necator americanus (New World hookworm)
Lineage: Eukaryota; Metazoa; Nematoda; Chromadorea; Rhabditida; Ancylostomatidae
Source: Rfam
GCACUACUCUUUUCUGGGCAUAUUCUAUAGUUGGAACAAUACAGAGAACAUUAGCAUGACCUCUGCGCAAGGAUGACGCAAUUUCAUGAGGAGUUCCAAGUUUUU